ACACAGGACCGCUCUGUGGCAAUCGCGAUAGGCAAGCAGGUCAGCUCAGAUGUUUUAUCUCUUUACUAAAACUGGCGGUGGCGGUGGCGGUGGCGGUGGCGGUGGCGGUGGCGGUGGCGGCGGUGGGCGUGUCUAGAGGCGGAGUAGGAUUUCUUUGUUCCUGAUAAGAGAGUGCGGAUCUCUGCAGAGGAGAGGAGUUCCUUUUGAUUCCCUUAUUUAUACAGCCAUGGCCUCCCUCCAACUGUGUUAUGCCCCUCCUUAUUCUUCUGCUCACUACAACAAUAACAAUGCCAGUGGUUUCCCCCAAGCGUGUUACCGCCCAACCUUUCCAAUCCCUAAUUUCACCAGAAAAGCCCUUCUUUCCGGUUUUGUCUGGAGAGAACCAGAGUCUCAUUUGCCAGUUAGGAAACACUCUUCCUGCCGCUGCCACGCUCUUGGUGGCGGGGGUCAGCAGCGCCCGGAGUACCUUCCGAACCGGAUAGACGACCUGCAGUAUGUCCGCAUAUUCGACACGACGCUGCGGGAUGGGGAACAGAGCCCGGGGGCAUCGAUGACGAGCAAGGAGAAACUUGAUGUGGCCCGCCAGCUAGCACGCCUAGGUGUUGAUAUCAUCGAAGCCGGGUUCCCGAUCGCCUCCCGGGAGGACCUUGAGGCCAUCAAGAUGAUCGCGGCCGAUGUCGGGAGCUUCAUUGAUGACUCGGGGUACGUGCCUGUCAUCUGUGGGCUGGCGAGAUGUAACAAGGCCGACAUUGAUGCCGCAUGGGAGGCAGUACAGCGCGCGGUGAGGCCUAGGAUCCAUAUCUUCAUCGCCACGAGUGAGAUUCACUUGGAGCACAAGCUCAAGAAGACAAGGGAUGAGGUGCUGGAGAUUGCUCGCAGCAUGGUUGCCUACGCCAGAAGCCUUGGCUGCCCCGAUGUUGAGUUCAGCCCGGAGGAUGCUGGGAGAUCUGAUAGGGAAUUUCUUUAUCUAGUUCUCGGAGAGGCUAUAAAGGCCGGUGCAACGACACUCAACAUACCUGAUACAGUCGGAUACACAUUGCCCAGUGAAUAUGGGAAGUUGAUUUCUGACAUCAGAGCCAACACCCCAGGCAUCGAGAAUGUGAUUAUUUCAACCCAUUGCCAAAAUGACCUUGGUCUCGCGUCAUCAAACACAUUGGCGGGGGCUUAUGCAGGAGCACGGCAGUUGGAGGUCACUGUAAAUGGAAUUGGUGAAAGGGCAGGGAAUGCUUCUUUGGAGGAGGUGGUCAUGGCCUUACAUUUGCGGGGAAAGGAGCUGCUGGGGGGACUGUAUACUGGAAUUAACACCAAGCAAAUUGCAAUGGCGAGCAAGAUGGUAACAGAAUAUACUGGGAUGCCUGUACAGCCACAUAAGGCUAUUGUUGGAGCCAAUGCUUUUGCUCAUGAAAGUGGUAUCCAUCAGGAUGGAAUGCUGAAAUUUCAAGGCACAUAUGAAAUUCUUUCUCCUAGUGAUAUUGGAUUGAAUCGCUCUACUGAGUCGGGUAUUGUGCUUGGAAAGCUUAGUGGACGUCAUGCCUUGAAGUCUCGACUUGUACAGCUUGGCUACAACUUGGGGGAAAAGAAGCUUGAUGAUGUCUUUUGGCGCUUCAAAGCCGUGGCUGAGAAAAAAAAGCAUUUAUCUGAUGGUGAUAUUGAGGCGUUGGUUUCAGAUGAAGUUUUCCAGCCGCAAGUUAUUUGGUCUCUUGGUGAUUUGCAGGUCACUUGUGGUACUUCGGGCCUCUCAACAGGAACUGUAAAACUGAUUGGAGCUGAUGGCACUGAGCAUAUUGCAUGUGCGGUUGGAACAGGUCCAGUUGAUGCAGCCUACAAAGCCAUUGAUAGCAUUGUUAAGGUCUCAGUAACUCUUUUGGAGUACUCCAUGAAUGCCGUUACUGAGGGCAUUGAUGCCAUAGCCCACACACGAGUCAUCAUACGCCCCGAACACGGCCACCAUACAUCAACCCAUGCACUCACUGGAGAAACCCUACAUCGAACUUUUAGGUUUUACCAUUAAUAAACUCUUUUGUAAUAUCUUUGUGGAUUUGUUCACCAUUGUACAAUGGAUUAUUGUCAUCCAAAGGGCAUCCACCAGAAGUUCCUCUUGAUGGGUAGUCCAUAUCAACAUUGAUGGCCCAGUGGAGCAUUAAUCACAGUGGAACUGGGGCAGGAAUGGAUAUUGUCGCAUCAAGUGUGCGUGCUUAUGUAAGUGCCCUCAACAAGAUGCUGAGCUUCAGGACCAUAUCGACAAGAAAGGAGACUGUCGAGGGAUGACAAGUCUCGGCUU
This is a non-coding RNA of Amborella trichopoda, 2281 nucleotides long. Lineage: Eukaryota; Viridiplantae; Streptophyta; Magnoliopsida; Amborellales; Amborellaceae. The record is from RefSeq and is a predicted model, not a curated record.